GGACCGGCUCAGGUGAAGUCCAUCUUCCCUGUUAAAGUUAUCAGGAUGAAGUUCGAUCUCGAUGGCUUCCCUGAUUAACCGGUCCAUGUAGCCGGUUUUUGAGGAGAGGAUAGAAGUGUCCUCUAGCUGUAUCUUGUGCUCCAAGUUGAAGCGGUGUUCAGCAACCGCAGAUUUCUCGGGCUGCCCGAGCCGGAUGUGGCGUUCGUGCUCCUUGAUCCUGGCCUCAACGGAACGGCCUGUCUGGCCGAUGUAGACUUUUCCGCACUCGCAGGGAACUCUGUAUACGCCAGGCGUCUUCAGUCCUAGGUCGUCCUUUACCGGCCGGAGAAAACUGGGAAUUUUCUUUGGCGGAAGACCAACAGACUUGAUGUCGUGCCUGGCCAGCAACCUGCUUAUGCGGUUGAAGGUCGUCCCGACGUAGGGCAGGAAGGCAACCGAGGCUGGUUUUCCAGUAGGCGGUGGCAGCCUCGCAGGCGGAUUGAGAGCUUUCUGAAUCUGACGGUUGCUGUAUCCGUUUUUCCUGAAGGUGGUGCUCUUCGCCAAGUAACAAUAUUCCCCUCAUGCGCAUUGUGCAGUCAGCAAAGCACACCGAGGGACGAGGAUCGAAGGUACACCUUACCAACAAGGACCGCAUGCGCAAGAGUCACUACUGUUGCCUGGACACCGAGUCAGUGACUCUAUUUCAGAGUGACACAGGCUCCAAAUACUUCAAGGAAAUUCCACUUGCUGAGAUCCUGUCAGUUGGUACUGCUCAAAGUCUUGAUGGAGGUGGCUGAAGUUGAAUCAUUGUGUAGAAGGACAGGAGUGGAAAGGUUUGCUUCAGUGGAGUUCCCAGGUUUGAAAUGUGAUUUUAUGCACUUCAUUGAUGUUCAUUUAAUACAGAUACAGAUCUAUUGUUACAUUAUUUAUUGCCCCUACAGAUAACACAGGAAGGAUUUAUUCUUUUGCAUCAUUAAAUGUCCAGCACUUUGAAAUUAUUAAAAUAAAAGUUGUAUACAUGCUGUAUAUAAUGUAAUGUAAUUUGACAGUUCUUUUUAUGAUCUGUUUUGGACAAAUUUAUUUUAGUUUCAUCGUAUUGUUGUAAUAGAUACCUUCCAUAUAUGCGCUCAAUUUGUUCUUUGUUUUUUUUUCUAUGCAGAAGAACUAUAAAAAUGCUUAUGUUGGCUUUACCAAGUCUGUCCAUGGGCAAUACUUUGAGAAUUGUAAACAAUGCUUAACCAAAUGAUUUCCAUGUUUCUUAUUCCACAUUCUAGGAAAAUAUAAGAAAAGUCAGCAGUCUCCAUGUCGAUAGGAAUCAGACCGCUUCCUAUAUUAAACAGAUAAAUGAAGAAAGAGUACAAGUCACACAUAGGAAAGCUGGACUGGAGGCAAGAAAUGAACAACGCAGUUCCUUCCACAAUUGUUUUCUUCUUUCUGGAGACUCUAAUGAAAAUGUUUGACCUUGUAAAGAAGUGAAAAUGACUAAUUUGAACUGUUGCAGGACAUUGACUGGUGGAGCAUUGGGGUCAUCACCUAUGAAAUGUUGGCAGGCCACGGGCCGUUUGAAUCUGAUGGCAACGUGAGAGACUUGCAAACGCUCUACACUAAAAUCGUACUUGACAAACCAGACAUUCCGACAUGGCUGUCAAAGUACGUGGCAGACGUUGACAAGAAUCCAGAUUCUCAUCUUGAUAGCGCCAAAGAUGGCGCACUGGACAUCAGGUGGCAUCCAUUCUUUGACGGACUCAAAUGGGGUGACGUGAUGGCGAAGAAAUACCAGAUGCCGCGCCCCCCCACCACCAUGACCAGUCGGCUCUAUAGCGUCCAGUCAGAUACGAGACAGCGUCUUCAACCGGAGUGAGGACAAUUACGACGUAAGUAAAAGUACUUUGUCUGACAUUUUAGUAUGUGCUGCAUAGUAACGGGAUUAUAUUCGGUGAUCCUGUUACAUUUGGAACUGGUGUUUCCAUGUUUCCUUGAAAAUGUUUUAGUAAUUAAAAGUUCUAUGGCAAUUGGACUUAUCACAGUGGAAACGGGUGGUGAUUUUCUACACUCUGCGCCUAAUAUUAGCCCCUGUAGUCGAAAACAAUCCCGUUACUUGAUAGUCUCCUCUAUUUGCAGGAACUUGGUAAGAAAAGAUUGUUCAGUCUUAUGGGCUUUUAUUUCGAAUGGCACCUUCUGUACAAAGUCAAAUUUUUAAAUUCGUGUCACCACACUGUGGUGUAAUAUAAAAACACUUCUUGUAUAAGAAGGCAAUACAGAAAAAACUCACCUUUCUCUCUCUACUUUCUCUCCCUCUCCCACUCUCGCCCACGUGCUACCAUUGGUCCACUCCCAUGCC
Molecule: non-coding RNA, 2320 nt
Organism: Zootermopsis nevadensis
Lineage: Eukaryota; Metazoa; Arthropoda; Insecta; Blattodea; Termopsidae
Source: RefSeq, a predicted model, not a curated record